Molecule: ribosomal RNA, 313 nt
Filed under: uncultured bacterium
Lineage: Bacteria
Description: bacterial SSU rRNA
Rfam family: Bacterial small subunit ribosomal RNA
Source: RNAcentral
AUGUAGGUAUCUGCCCUUUGGCCUGGAAUAACACGAGGAAACUUGUGCUAAUACCGGAUAAGUCUUUACGGAGAAAGCUUUAUGCACCAUUGGAUGAGCCUGCACUUGAUUAGUUUGUUGGUGGGGUAAUGGCCUACCAAGACUGUGAUCAAUAGCUGAUUUGAGAGGAUGAUCAGCCACAUUGGGACUGAGACACGGCCCAAACUCCUACGGGAGGCAGCAGUGGGGAAUCUUGCACAAUGGAGGAAACUCUGAUGCAGCGAUGCCGCGUGAGUGAAGAAGGCCUUUGGGUUGUAAAGCUCUUUCGUCGGGG